UGGGGAAUCUUAGACAAUGGGGGCAACCCUGAUCUAGCCAUGCCGCGUGAGUGAUGAAGGCCUUAGGGUUGUAAAGCUCUUUCAGCUGGGAAGAUAAUGACGGUACCAGCAGAAGAAGCCCCGGCUAACUCCGUGCCAGCAGCCGCGGUAAUACGGAGGGGGCUAGCGUUGUUCGGAAUUACUGGGCGUAAAGCGCACGUAGGCGGACCAGAAAGUUGGGGGUGAAAUCCCGGGGGCCUCAACCUCGGAACUGCCCUCAAAACUAUUGGUCUGGAGUUCGAGAGAGGUGAGUGGAAUUCCGAGUGUAGAGGUGAAAUUCGUAGAUAUUCGGAGGAACACCAGUGGCGAAGGCGGCUCACUGGCUCGAUACUGACGCUGAGGUGCNAAAGCGUGGGGAGCAAACAGGAUUAGAUACCCUGGUAGUCCACG
Molecule: ribosomal RNA, 429 nt
Filed under: uncultured bacterium
Lineage: Bacteria
Description: partial 16S ribosomal RNA
Rfam family: Bacterial small subunit ribosomal RNA
Source: RNAcentral